CAGACGGUGCCGCCCUGUUUGUGGUCAUCAGGCAACCGCGGCACCCGCGAGCUGCUGCCCUCUCCCGGAUCCUACCCGUCCCUCCCCCCAGGAUGCUGCCUGGGCUGGGGCUCGGCCUCCCCUGUGGGAGAAGGUAUCCUCCUCUCCCUGCCUCUGGAUGCACCGUUUCCACGAGCCCGAGGACCCCCGGACUCCAUUUCCGGCCAGCCCGGGGCGUCUCACCCCCAGGCCUUCCUUUGCCCGGCGACCAGUGACGUCACCGGAGACUCCGGUCGCCAUUGGCGGGCAGCAAGGAGCGCCGCCAAUGGCGGGGUCGGAGGCGGCUCAGGGGGCGGGGCCGCAGCAGAGCACAGCGAUGGCUCCAGCGCUGGGGCUGGGGGCGCUCCUGAGGCCCCGGGGGGCGGCGAGAGCUGAGGGGGCCCCCCGGCACCGGGACUCUCUGAUCGCCCGUUCCGCAGCACCGAGGGGCCCCUGAACCCCCAUUCCUUGGCGCCGCCAUCCCCCCGCACCCCCAUUCCCCCGGCAUGGGUUCCACCCUGCACCCCUUUAUCCGGCACCAACAACCCCCGCACCCCCUUCUCGGCCAUCCCGUCUCUCCCAGCCCCAGAGCCCCCUUUUCCUUGUCCCAGAGACCCCCUGGACCCCUGUUCCUCCCCUCGAGAAUGUGGAGCAGCGGGAUGGGGAUUCCCCUCCCCUCCUGACCAUGCCGCGCUUCCCAGAGCCGGAAUCCAGCGUGAAUCUCACCCUGGUGCUCCCUGUGUCUGUCAGCGCUGCCAUCGGCCUUGUUCUCCUCAUCGGAUUCGGCGUCUGGAAGCUCCAAUCCGGUUACCCCCAAACCCAUCCUGGGGGUCACCAUGUUCUUCCCCCCUCCCAAGACUCCUGGGGGUCCCUCAUGACCCACCCAGCCCCCCCCAACUCCUCCUGGAUCACCCAUAAACCGCAUAUGGGGAUUCCUGGGAGUUCCCCUGUGUUCCUCCAUUCCCAGGACUUUGGGGGUCCCCCCGACCUGUCCAUGACUCCUCAGAUUUCUUCCAGAACCCCCCUGUGAUGGUGGGGGGGGUGGGGGCUUGUGGGAGCUCAGCACAUCACUCCUGAUGUCCAGAGCUACCGAGAGAACCCUUGGGGGUCUCGGGAGUCUUGGAAUGUUGCCAAAAGCACUUGGUGGCUUGAUUUUGAUCCAUCUAGAGAUGUGCCACCGAUGUAUGAGGAAAUGGAACCUGCGAGAAUCACUCGGGUGUAAAUGGUGAAGGGAAGAUAUCAUUAUAGGGUGAAUCACAAAUUUUGGGGUUUUGGUACAGGGGGGUUGCAGAGACAAGAUGGAGGAAUCAGGGUGUGCCACCAGGCUCUUCUUUCUUCUUCCUGUCUUCCAUCUUCUGGAGUGGUGUUGGCAUUUGGGGAUUGGUCUGGGAUGAGGGUGUAGUUAGUGACGAAGAUGAUAAGUAUUGGGGACAAAAGGUAAAUAUGAUAUACGUAGAUUUUGUUAUAAAAGAUGCGGCCGCCUUGGGGGGUGGGCAGAGUGCCUUUGGCUGCCGUGCUGGUCAGAUCCUUCGGGCAGAGAAAGGACUUUAUAGAUAAGAAAUAAUAAACAAUUCUGAAGACCGAAAAAA
This is a long non-coding RNA of Haemorhous mexicanus (house finch), 1607 nucleotides long. RefSeq lists it as uncharacterized. Lineage: Eukaryota; Metazoa; Chordata; Aves; Passeriformes; Fringillidae. The record is from RefSeq and is a predicted model, not a curated record. The transcript is spliced from 2 exons.